UACGAAGGGGGCUAGCGUUGCUCGGAAUCACUGGGCGUAAAGCGCACGUAGGCGGCUUUUUAAGUCAGGGGUGAAAUCCUGGAGCUCAACUCCAGAACUGCCUUUGAUACUGAGAAGCUUGAGUCCGGGAGAGGUGAGUGGAACUGCGAGUGUAGAGGUGAAAUUCGUAGAGAUCCGGAAGAACACCGGUGGCGAAGGCGGUCUGCUGGGGUGAUGCUGACACUGAUGCGCGACAGCGUGGGGAGCAAACAGG
Molecule: ribosomal RNA, 253 nt
Filed under: uncultured bacterium
Lineage: Bacteria
Description: partial 16S ribosomal RNA
Rfam family: Bacterial small subunit ribosomal RNA
Source: RNAcentral